AAAAGAACUUUGAAGAGAGAGUUCAAAAGGGCGUGAAACCGCUUAGAAUAAAACGGACGGAGCCGUCGGGAGCCUCCGGGAAUCAGUCUUACGAUACGCGAACGUGUCGUUGGUUCGGAACGCAAAGUCCGACCGCGAAACGCUAGUAACGUUCGUUUGGCGCAUUUCUCGGAGGUAAGCAUCGCGACCGAUACGAUAGGUCGACGAAGCGAUCGGAUUGAGGUCGAGACUCUUCGCGGAGACUCGUAACCAGUCUUUUCGUUUUCGAUCGUCGAACCGUAGAAUAGUAUCGAGCGCCUAAGUAAAAUAUACGUCGGCAGUAAAAGCUCGCUCGAAUAACGGCUAGUCGGUCGAUAGUAUCGGUACUUGCUCGCAGGUGCCGAUCUAUUCCCGAUCGACUUAAAAGUUGUCGGCGACGUAACGACGUAUAGGCGUCGGCGAUGUCAGUGUCGGCCACCCGUCCGACCCGUCUUGAAACACGGACCAAGGAGUCUAACAUAUGCGCGAGCUAAUGGGUGGAAAACCCAAAAGCGUAAUAAAAGUAAAGGCUGUUUCGGACAGCUAAGGUACGAUCCUCGAUACCGAGCGUAUCGGGGCGCAAUACCGUCCCGUCCCGACCGCACGUCGGUAGGGCGGAGAUAGAGUGCAUACGUUGGGACCCGAAAGAUGGUGAACUAUGCCUGAGCAGAGCGAAGCCAGAGGAAACUCUGGUGGAGGUUCGUAGCGGUUCUGACGUGCAAAUCGAUCGUCAGAC
RNAcentral lists this ribosomal RNA (754 nucleotides) under Aporcelinus sp. 2_K2AL_SS140. RNAcentral describes it as "partial large subunit ribosomal RNA". It matches the Rfam family "Eukaryotic large subunit ribosomal RNA", at positions 367 to 910 of the family's 3401-position model. Lineage: Eukaryota; Metazoa; Nematoda; Enoplea; Dorylaimida; Aporcelaimidae. The record is from RNAcentral.